AUUAGUAUGAUGAUAACUUUGAUAGGGACAUCUGAUGUCUAUGAUUGAUUUAUCACUUUUUAACAAAACUGAUUCA
Molecule: small nucleolar RNA, 76 nt
Filed under: Drosophila virilis
Lineage: Eukaryota; Metazoa; Arthropoda; Insecta; Diptera; Drosophilidae
Description: small nucleolar RNA Me28S-Cm2645
Rfam family: Small nucleolar RNA Me28S-Cm2645
About the family: Me28S-Cm2645 is a member of the C/D class of snoRNA which contain the C (UGAUGA) and D (CUGA) box motifs. This family directs 2'-O-methylation of 28S C-2645.
Source: Rfam by way of RNAcentral